CAAUAGCGUAUAUUAAAGUUGUUGCGGUUAAAAAGCUCGUAGUUGGAUUUCUGCUGAGAACGACCGGUCCGCCCUCUGGGUGUGUAUCUGGCUCUUUCUUGGCAUCUUCUUGGUGAACGUUGCUGCACUUGACUGUGUGGAGCGCUACCCAGGACUUUUACUUUGAGGAAAUUAGAGUGUUUCAAGCAGGCAUACGCCUUGAAUACAUUAGCAUGGAAUAAUAAGAUAGGACCUCGGUUCUAUUUUGUUGGUUUCUAGAGCUGAGGUAAUGAUUAAUAGGGAUAGUUGGGGGCAUUCGUAUUUAACUGUCAAAGGUGAAAUUCUUGGAUUUGUUAAAGACGGACUACUGCGAAAGCAUUUGCCAAGGAUGUUUNCAUUG
Molecule: ribosomal RNA, 379 nt
Filed under: uncultured eukaryote
Lineage: Eukaryota
Description: partial 18S ribosomal RNA
Rfam family: Eukaryotic small subunit ribosomal RNA
Source: RNAcentral